RNAcentral lists this small RNA (26 nucleotides) under Bombyx mori (domestic silkworm). RNAcentral describes it as "ovarian small RNA-11718". The record is from RNAcentral. Lineage: Eukaryota; Metazoa; Arthropoda; Insecta; Lepidoptera; Bombycidae.
ACUUAAGUCAAAACUGGUUUUUAAGA